RNAcentral lists this ribosomal RNA (443 nucleotides) under uncultured bacterium. RNAcentral describes it as "bacterial SSU rRNA". It matches the Rfam family "Bacterial small subunit ribosomal RNA", at positions 958 to 1397 of the family's 1533-position model. The record is from RNAcentral.
AACGCGAAGAACCUUACCUGGGCUUGAACUACUCGUGGUAGUCCGAUUGAAAGAUUGGGCGACCCGCAAGGGAGCGAGCAGAGGUGCUGCAUGGUUGUCGUCAGCUCGUGUCGUGAGAUGUUGGGUUAAGUCCCGCAACGAGCGCAACCCCUACUCGAUGUUGCUAACUCCGCAAGGAGUGCACUCUUCGAGAACUGCCUUCGAUAAGAAGGAGGAAGGUGGGGACGACGUCAAAUCCUCAUGGCCCUUAUGUCCAGGGCUACACACGUGCUACAAUGGCCGGUACAACGGGAAGCAAGGCCGCAAGGCGGAGCAAAACCCUAAAAGCCGGCCCCAGUUCAGAUCGUGGGCUGCAACUCGCCCACGUGAAGGCGGAAUCGCUAGUAAUCGCGAAUCAGCAGGUCGCGGUGAAUACGUUCCCGGGCCUUGUACACACCGGCUAC